Molecule: ribosomal RNA, 406 nt
Filed under: uncultured bacterium
Lineage: Bacteria
Description: partial 16S ribosomal RNA
Rfam family: Bacterial small subunit ribosomal RNA
Source: RNAcentral
AUUGAACGCUAGCGGCAGGCCUAACACAUGCAAGUCGAACGAGUGGCGGACGGGUGAGUAAUGUCUGGGAAACUGCCUGAUGGAGGGGGAUAACUACUGGAAACGGUAGCUAAUACCGCAUACCAUCGGAUGUGCCCAGAGGGGAUUAGCUCGUAGGUGGGGUAACGGCUCACCUAGGCGACGAUCCCUAGCUGGUCUGAGAGGAUGACCAGCAACACUGGAACUGAGACACGGUCCAGACUCCUACGGGAGGGAGCAGAGGGGAAUAUUGCACAAUGGGCGCAAGCCUGAUGCAGCCAGGCCGAGUGUAUGAAGAAGGCCUUCGGGUUGCAAAGUACUUUCAGCGGAGAGGCGUUACCCGCAGAAGCAGCACCGGCUAACUUCGUGCCAGCAGCCGCGGUAAUUC